UACGGAGGGUGCAAGCGUUAAUCGGAAUUACUGGGCGUAAAGCGCACGCAGGCGGUCUGUCAAGUCGGAUGUGAAAUCCCCGGGCUCAACCUGGGAACUGCAUUCGAAACUGGCAGGCUAGAGUCUUGUAGAGGGGGGUAGAAUUCCAGGUGUAGCGGUGAAAUGCGUAGAGAUCUGGAGGAAUACCGGUGGCGAAGGCGACCCCCUGGACAAAGACUGACGCUCAGGUGCGAAAGCGUGGGGAGCAAACAGGAUUAGAUACCCUGGUAGUCCACGCCGUAAACGAUGUCGAUUUGGAGGUGGUGCCCUUGAGGCGUGGCUGCCGGAGCUAACGCGUUAAGUCGACCGCCUGGGGAGUACGGCCGCAAGGUUAAA
RNAcentral lists this ribosomal RNA (375 nucleotides) under uncultured bacterium. RNAcentral describes it as "bacterial SSU rRNA". It matches the Rfam family "Bacterial small subunit ribosomal RNA", at positions 524 to 898 of the family's 1533-position model. The record is from RNAcentral.